GGGCCGUUAGCUCAGCUGGUAGAGCAGCGGACUCUUAAUCCGUUUGUCGUAGGUUCGACCCCUACACGGCCCACCA
RNAcentral lists this transfer RNA (76 nucleotides) under Candidatus Nitricoxidivorans perseverans. Its description in RNAcentral is "tRNA-Lys". It matches the Rfam family "tRNA". From Rfam's summary of the family: Transfer RNA (tRNA) molecules are approximately 80 nucleotides in length. Lineage: Bacteria; Pseudomonadati; Pseudomonadota; Betaproteobacteria; Nitrosomonadales; Sterolibacteriaceae. The record is from RNAcentral.